UUAAAACAACAAUAAUUUAGGACGAAGGGAGUAUAAUAUUAUCAAACAUUGUCAGGUAUUGCGCAUGGAACUUCAAAUCGAUAAGCACAAAUGCGACUUGUUGAUUCGUCACCCACCUCUACAUAGAAAGUUAGAAACUAACCUCUCCGGUGAUUGUGACCGUGGUUGAGAUACAAAUAAAAAAUAUUUCAUCUCUGCUAUAUGCACAAAAAAUGCUAGAAACAUAACCGUAUCUUUGAGGAUCCUGUUCCUAGACCUCUACAGUUACUAGGCUCUUUUUGACUUUUACUCUACUGUUUCUAUUCUCAUCGGCCACAUCCAUCAUUGCUGAUGUAGAGGCUGAGGAGUUGGGAUAAUUUCUAUUCCAUCAUCUGAAACCUCUAUAUAGAACUGUAUAGAUACCCUACUCCCUC
This 413-nucleotide long non-coding RNA is filed under the name Setaria viridis. RNAcentral's name for it is "long non-coding RNA (SVIR_LNC008993)". The record is from RNAcentral. Lineage: Eukaryota; Viridiplantae; Streptophyta; Magnoliopsida; Poales; Poaceae.